GAAAUGCGAUAAGUAGUGUGAAUUGCAGAAUUCAGUGAAUCAUCGAAUCUUUGAACGCACAUUGCGCCCCUUGGUAUUCCAUGGGGCAUGCCUGUACGAGCGUCAUUUGUACCCUCAAGCUCUGCUUGGUGUUGGGUGUUUGUCCCCGUCUCCGCGCGUGGACUCGCCCCAAAGUGAUUGGCAGCCGGCGUACUGGUCCCGGAGCGCAGCACAUGUCGCGCAAACGAGUGCCUUGGUACGGCGGCGUCCAUAAGCCCCUCUCUCACGCUCUUGACCUCGGAUCAGGUAGGGAUACCCGCUGAACUUAAGC
This 310-nucleotide unclassified non-coding RNA is filed under the name plant metagenome. RNAcentral describes it as "partial contains 5.8S ribosomal RNA, internal transcribed spacer 2, and large subunit ribosomal RNA". The stretch from base 1 to 105 matches the Rfam family "5.8S ribosomal RNA", at positions 50 to 154 of the family's 154-position model. The record is from RNAcentral.